RNAcentral lists this non-coding RNA (261 nucleotides) under Gossypium arboreum. RNAcentral describes it as "Eukaryotic small subunit ribosomal RNA". It matches the Rfam family "Eukaryotic small subunit ribosomal RNA", at positions 1681 to 1831 of the family's 1831-position model. Lineage: Eukaryota; Viridiplantae; Streptophyta; Magnoliopsida; Malvales; Malvaceae. The record is from Rfam by way of RNAcentral.
UCUAUCGAUAAAAUUUCUAAACGAAAUUUUCACAAAAUCAUGCAAUCAUGCCAUAGACCUUAAAAUGAUAAUAAAAUAAAUUUUUCUACCUCGGAUUUUUGGUUUCGCAACCACUGUUCCGUUUAGGCCCUAUUUCGGGAUGUUACAGACAUGGGUGGUUCACUGCCCACGACGUUGCGAGAAGUCUACUAAACCUUGUGAUUUAGAGGAAGGAGAAGUUGUAACAAGUUUUCCAUAAGUGAACUUGUGGAAGGAUCAUUG